RNAcentral lists this long non-coding RNA (202 nucleotides) under Malus domestica (apple). RNAcentral describes it as "long non-coding RNA (MDOM_LNC008875)". Lineage: Eukaryota; Viridiplantae; Streptophyta; Magnoliopsida; Rosales; Rosaceae. The record is from RNAcentral.
GGCCUUGGGAGCGAGGUUUGGGCGCUUCUGGGCUUUGUUUCCUCCCUUGGAUGGGCCUUGGCUCUGUUGACCUUGGUGGGAUGGCUUUUGGCCGCCCUUACCACGCCUCUUUUGGCGUUUUGGGUGCUGAUUAGUGCUAUAAUGUGCUUCAGGCACAGCAGUAGCCCCAGUAGGUUGAGCUUGAUGAUUCUUCAUCAACAGC